GGGGAACCAGGACUUUUACUGUGAAAAAAUUAGAGUGCUCCAGGCAGGCCUAUGCUCGAAUACAUUAGCAUGGAAUAAUAGAAUAGGACGUGUGGUUCUAUUUUGUUGGUUUCUAGGACCGCCGUAAUGAUUAAUAGGGACAGUCGGGGGCAUCAGUAUUCAAUUGUCAGAGGUGAAAUUCUUGGAUUUAUUGAAGACUAACUACUGCGAAAGCAUUUGCCAAGGAUGUUUUCAUUAAUCAGGAACAAAAGUUAGGGGAUCGAAGACGAUCAGAUACCGUCGUAGUCUUAACCAUAAACUAUGCCGACUAGGGAUCGGACGGUGUUAUUUUUUGACCCGUUCGGCACCUUACGAGAAAUCAAAGUGCUUGGGCUCCAGGGGGAGUAUGGUCGCAAGGCUUGAAACUUAAAGAAAUUGACGGAAGGGCACCACCAGGGGUGGAGCCUGCGGCUUAAUUUGACUCAACACGGGGAAACUCACCAGGUCCAGACACAAUGAGGAUUGACAGAUUGAGAGCUCUUUCUUGAUUUUGUGGGUGGUGGUGCAUGGCCGUUCUUAGUUGGUGGAGUGAUUUGUCUGCUUAAUUGCGAUAACGAACGAGACCU
RNAcentral lists this ribosomal RNA (605 nucleotides) under uncultured Hypocreales. Its description in RNAcentral is "SSU rRNA". It matches the Rfam family "Eukaryotic small subunit ribosomal RNA", at positions 737 to 1343 of the family's 1831-position model. The record is from RNAcentral. Lineage: Eukaryota; Fungi; Ascomycota; Sordariomycetes; Hypocreales.